This 381-nucleotide ribosomal RNA is filed under the name Triticum aestivum (bread wheat). RNAcentral's name for it is "partial small subunit ribosomal RNA". Lineage: Eukaryota; Viridiplantae; Streptophyta; Magnoliopsida; Poales; Poaceae. The record is from RNAcentral.
AUGGGACACUUUGGCGUGAAAAAGACAGAGGAUAUACUUGUUACACGUUUCUUUUGGCCAAAGAUGAGACGGGAUGUUGAUCGUUUUGUUGCUUGCUACACUACAUGUCAAAAAGCUAAGUCACGACUCAAUCCUCAUGGUUUAUAUAUGCCUUUGCUUGUAGCUAGUGUUCCUUGGGAGGAUAUCUCUAUGGAUUUUGUUUUAGGAUUACCUCGAACAAAGAAGGGAGGGAUAGCAUAUUUGUUGUCGUGGAUAGAUUCUCGAAAAUGGCACACUUUAUACCAUGUCAUAAAAGUGAUGAUGCUGUUAAUGUUACUGAUUUGUUCUUUCGUGAAAUUAUUCGGUUGCAUGGUGUGCCAAAUACUAUUGUUCAGAUCGUGA